UGAGACGUUGAUGAUGCUCCUAUCACCAUGGUUAUGUGAUUGGGUAUAUCUUGCCCUCGGUCCUAACUGCCACUGUCUGUGCUGAGUUUUUCAAAGUUCAUAGCAGGUUGAACAUGCUUGCUGUCAUUUUCACAGAUUCUGGUCUUUCUUAUGGGGAACCUGAGUUCCUGCAUUAAAGUUCCCCCAGAAGAUCAAUGGAAGGUGGAUUCCAAAGAGUGGGCAAGUGAGGACCCCUUCUCUGUUACCAAGGUGACCCCAAGGAACACAGUAAAUGAAAUUUUAAGAAGAUAUAGCCUCUACACCAAGAGGCACAUGACACAACCUGGACUCUGGGCAAACCACCGGGUGCACUCACAUGAAGUGGCGGCUUAUUUGGCCUCCCCAGGACGGACUGGAGCAUCAGUAGUGCCUGAGUUCAUCAAAGGACAGAUGCUCAAGACACCUUGAUCACCAUUAGGUGGAAUUGAAGGAGCCAAAAAUGGGCGCAGUGGCUCCUCAGCAGAGACGCUCCUGAAUGUAUAGACAUGGGAACCACUUUCAGCAUCAAAAAAGGAAACGUUCUGCAUGCCCAUAUCCAGAAAAAUCCCCACUCGCUGUAACUUGCGGUCUACUAAGAGGAAAGUCAGCGGCACCGUGCUGGCAGAGAGGCGGCUUCCAUCCCUCAAACUCACAGUCCAGAAUCCAAGCUCUGUGGUCAGCUGGAUCUUCCCUUUGCAGUGAACAGAUUCUCUGCAGACUCCCAGGUCCCAUUCUGUGCUUGUUCCCACGUCCACCUCCCAGUAGUGGCGGCCACAGGUAAAGCGAGGGGAGCCCAGGAUGCAAACGGACACGUCAAAUCUCUCGGCAAGGUCUUGCCGAUUCUGUGUGAUGAGCCCACUUCGGACGCUCCUGAGGUCGUCAGAAAUGAGGAGGAAGUUGUUGGCUGUGUCGGCAUCCAAGGUCAUAUCCACUGUGAAAAGGAAAACAAGUUGCUCAGCAAGUGGACAGAAGCCAACCCCAUGCCUCUCUUCUACUUCAAAGGCCCAAAUAUCUCCUGACUUUAGUUUCUUUAAUUCUGUUUCUUCCUCCAAAAUCAAAACUUUUCAUGAGGAAACUUCCCUAUUUCAAAUUUUCAUAGGUAUGCUUUGUGGCAAUACGUGACUCUUAUUCACAGUAGCAAUUCUUAUUUUACUUUACGUCACGUGUUUGCUUCACUGAACUUUUCUUCAUUUAGAGUGGAGGGUCUCUGAAGGCAGACACCAUGCCCCCCUUUCUACCACCUUGAUGUGUGAACAAAUAAAUGAUAAUUAAGACAA
Homo sapiens (human) is the source of this 1295-nucleotide long non-coding RNA. RefSeq annotates it as RFPL3 antisense. The record is from RefSeq and is marked validated. NCBI's taxonomy places the organism in Eukaryota, Metazoa, Chordata, Mammalia, Primates, Hominidae. The transcript is spliced from 5 exons.